Molecule: ribosomal RNA, 510 nt
Filed under: uncultured bacterium
Lineage: Bacteria
Description: bacterial SSU rRNA
Rfam family: Bacterial small subunit ribosomal RNA
Source: RNAcentral
ACACGACUACGAGUUGAUCAUGGCUCAGGAUGAACGCUAGCGGCAGGCCUAAUACAUGCAAGUCGAACGGAUAUAUGUUUUUCGGAAUAUAUAUUAGUGGCGCACGGGUGAGUAACACGUACAUAACUUGCCCUCAAGCGGGGGAUAGCCUUGGGAAACUGAGAGUAAUACCCCAUAGAAUUAUUGGACGGCAUCGUUUGAUAAUUAAAACUACGGUGCUUGGGGAUAGAUGUGCGUCUGAUUAGCUAGUUGGUGAGGUAACUGCUCACCAAGGCGACGAUCAGUAGGGGGCGUGAGAGCGUGGCCCCCCACACGGGUACUGAGACACGGACCCGACUCCUACGGGAGGCAGCAGUAAGGAAUAUUGGUCAAUGGAGGGAACUCUGAACCAGCCAUGCCGCGUGAAGGAUGACGGCCCUCUGGGUUGUAAACCUCUUUUGGAUGGGGCGAAAAAACGGGAUUUAUCCUGGACUGACGGUACCAUCAGAAUAAGCACCGGCUAACUCCGUG